RNAcentral lists this unclassified non-coding RNA (771 nucleotides) under Athalia rosae (coleseed sawfly). Its description in RNAcentral is "misc RNA ENSAEAG00005011734.1". Lineage: Eukaryota; Metazoa; Arthropoda; Insecta; Hymenoptera; Athaliidae. The record is from RNAcentral.
CAUGUCUAAAUACAUCAGCAAUGUCCUCAGUAAAGAUGGUACCAAAACUAAACGUUCGAUCUAACAGUGGAGAUUAUAAUUGGUAAGUUUACACAUUCAGCUUCAAGGCUUAUUUAAAAAUAAUUGCUCCAAUAAGACGCUCACUUUCUUUUUUUCUAAUAACUCGAUGAACCUUUCAGGAUCCUUGGUGAUAUGUUUUGGGACAACGACGAUGUUUCUUCCUUGUAGCAAAGGUCCCCAAAUUUCUGGGAUACUGUCAACGAAAGUCAGCGCCGUUUUGAAAACACAGGUUUUUUCGGAUGCCGAAUAAGGCAGCUCUCUCCACUGCCAGCGAAGACGGUUCAUCAUCGCUGAAUGCAGCAGCCUCACACCUAGCCAAACGAAAACCCAACAGGUGUGUUGCGUGGCCUCCGCUAUGGAUACUACGGGAAUGUAAAGAACCUUUGAAGUAGCCCUGGCUUUUAUACCAAACUGCAGACUGGUAAGGGGCUUUUGCGCGGGGAUAUACACUACUUAUAUGUAUGUACAUGUACGUACCUAUCGGGAGAUAUAAAAGUAUUCACGUUGAUCAUCGUCUCUAUCGUUAAGUACACGCCAACUCGGUACAACCUACGAAAGAGGCAAAGAAAGGAAAAAUUUAGAAAAAAAACAUAAAUAAAUGAAAACUAUCAUUUGUAUCGGAAUAAAUCGAUAGGUACAAUUUUAUAUUAUAUACACGUCAUGAAUAAUUAUUGUAAGAUCGGAGUUGAGAAACAUACGGAACUGUUCAAG